GAUGAACGCUGACAGAAUGCUUAACACAUGCGAGUCUUUGGCGAAGCUGUGCUCGCACAGCCUAGCCAAGGCGGACGGGUGAGUAACGCGUAAGGAACUUGCCCUGCAGUCAGGGAUAACAGACGGAAACGACUGAUAAGACCUGGUAAAGUCAGGCGGACUCAUGUCCAGCCUGAUGAAAAGAGAUGCUGCAGGAGAGCCUUGCGUCCUAUUAGCUUGUUGGUGGGGUAACGGCCCACCAAGGCGAUGAUAGGUAGCCGGCCUGAGAGGGUGGACGGCCACAAGGGGACUGAGAUACGGCCCUUACUCCUACGGGAGGCAGCAGUGGUGAAGAUUGGACAAUGGUGGCAACCCUGAUCCAGCAAUUCUGUGUGCACGAUGAAGGUUUUCGGAUUGUAAAGGGCUUUCAGCAGGGAAGAAAAAAAUGACGGUACCUGCAGAAGAAGCGACGGCUAAAUACGUG
Molecule: ribosomal RNA, 463 nt
Filed under: uncultured bacterium
Lineage: Bacteria
Description: partial 16S ribosomal RNA
Rfam family: Bacterial small subunit ribosomal RNA
Source: RNAcentral